ACGCUGGCGGCGUGCCUAAUACAUGCAAGUCGAACGCUUCUUUUUCCACCGGAGCUUGCUCCACCGGAAAAAGAGGAGUGGCGAACGGGUGAGUAACACGUGGGUAACCUGCCCAUCAGAAGGGGAUAACACUUGGAAACAGGUGCUAAUACCGUAUAACAAUCGAAACCGCAUGGUUUUGAUUUGAAAGGCGCUUUCGGGUGUCGCUGAUGGAUGGACCCGCGGUGCAUUAGCUAGUUGGUGAGGUAACGGCUCACCAAGGCCACGAUGCAUAGCCGACCUGAGAGGGUGAUCGGCCACAUUGGGACUGAGACACGGCCCAAACUCCUACGGGAGGCAGCAGUAGGGAAUCUUCGGCAAUGGACGAAAGUCUGACCGAGCAACGCCGCGUGAGUGAAGAAGGUUUUCGGAUCGUAAAACUCUGUUGUUAGAGAAGAACAAGGAUGAGAGUAACUGUUCAUCCCUUGACGGUAUCUAACCAGAAAGCCACGGCUAACUACGUGCCAGCAGCCGCGGUAAUACGUAGGUGGCAAGCGUUGUCCCGGAUUUAUUGGGGCGUAAAGCGAGCGCAGGCGGUUUUCUUAAAGUCUGAUGUG
RNAcentral lists this ribosomal RNA (596 nucleotides) under uncultured Enterococcus sp. Its description in RNAcentral is "bacterial SSU rRNA". It matches the Rfam family "Bacterial small subunit ribosomal RNA", at positions 33 to 596 of the family's 1533-position model. Lineage: Bacteria; Bacillati; Bacillota; Bacilli; Lactobacillales; Enterococcaceae. The record is from RNAcentral.